CCUACGGGGGGCAGCAGUGGGGAAUAUUGGACAAUGGGCGAAAGCCUGAUCCAGCCAUGCCGCGUGUGUGAAGAAGGCCUUCGGGUUGUAAAGCACUUUCAGUGGGGAAGAAAGCCUUGGGGCUAAUACCCUCGAGGAAGGACAUCACCCACAGAAGAAGCACCGGCUAACUCCGUGCCAGCAGCCGCGGUAAUACGGAGGGUGCGAGCGUUAAUCGGAAUUACUGGGCGUAAAGCGCGCGUAGGCGGUCUGAUAAGCCGGUUGUGAAAGCCCCGGGCUCAACCUGGGAACGGCAUCCGGAACUGUCAGGCUAGAGUGCAGGAGAGGAAGGUAGAAUUCCCGGUGUAGCGGUGAAAUGCGUAGAGAUCGGGAGGAAUACCAGUGGCGAAGGCGACCUUCUGGACUGACACUGACGCUGAGGUGCGAAAGCGUGGGUAGCAAACAGGAUUAGAUACCCCAGUAGUC
Molecule: ribosomal RNA, 465 nt
Filed under: Vreelandella stevensii
Lineage: Bacteria; Pseudomonadati; Pseudomonadota; Gammaproteobacteria; Oceanospirillales; Halomonadaceae
Description: partial 16S ribosomal RNA
Rfam family: Bacterial small subunit ribosomal RNA
Source: RNAcentral